RNAcentral lists this ribosomal RNA (1659 nucleotides) under Triticum aestivum (bread wheat). RNAcentral's name for it is "partial small subunit ribosomal RNA". The record is from RNAcentral. Lineage: Eukaryota; Viridiplantae; Streptophyta; Magnoliopsida; Poales; Poaceae.
AUGUGGACAAAUGGAAACAUCAAGCUGCAGUACAAGUUCUUUGGCGAUGUUGUCACAUUCGAUACAACAUACCGGACAAACUUGUAUGACAUGCCAUUUGGUUUGUUCGUGGGAGUGAACAAUCACUUCCAAAGCAUAAUACUAGCUGGAGUGCUGAUGCGCGAUGAACAAGUAGAGAGCUUCCAAUGGGUAUUUUCUGAGUUCAUCAACAUGAUGGGCGGGAAACACCCGCAGACAAUAUUGACAGACCAAGCACGAGCCAUGGAGAUAGCAAUCCAAAGCGAGCUCCCUAAUACUGUCCACAGGUGGUGCAAGUGGCAUGUGCUUAAAAAGGCAAAAGAAAGCCUUGGCCCUCUGUACACAAGCAAGAGCGAGUUCAGGGCUGAGUUCCACAAAGUGGUGAAUCACAUGAUAAGCGUGGAGGAAUUUGAGAUGGCAUGGGGUUCACUUGUAGAGAAAUAUAAUCUGAAAUCCCACAAUUACAUGACAAACCUGUACGAGAUACGACACAAGUGGGCUAAGCCAUACUUCAAGGGAGUGUUCUGUGCAAAAAUGACCAGCACUCAGCGUAGCGAGAGCGCCAACAACAUGCUUAAGAUUUACAUGCCGCCAGCUAGCCCAAUGCAUGUAUUCGUGCGUCAGUACAUGAGGCUUCAAUUCGACCGUGAAUCAGAUGAAAGCUACCAGGAAAAAAGAACAAGGAUUAGUGGUGCUGUCAUGAGGACAAACAUUGCUAUCGAAAGGCACGCAAGUAAGGUUUAUACACGAAAGAUGUUUGAAAUAUUUGGUGAAAAUCUGUAUGAGGGUGGAUCUUACCAAGUUGAAGAAGUGGAGAGGAAAAAGAAAUACAUUGCAAGGCACAAUGACGCCGAAAAACGGGAAAGGUGGAGCAAGGUUGAAUAUGUGGUGACCAUAUCCGACGAUGGGGAGUGGUUUGAUUGUGAAUGCGGGCAGUAUGCACACAUGGGGAUGCUUUGUUGCCAUGCAUUAAAGGUGAUGGACCACAUUGGCGUGCAGGAGAUACCUAAACGGCACAUUCUAAAAAGGUGGACAAAAGAUGCUAGGGACAUAUUGCCACAACACAUUGCUCACUUCCAGAAAGAUCAAGCUGCUAAUCAGUCCUUAACCUGUCGGAGUUCGACUCUGUACCUGCAUGCUAUGGAACUCGUGAGGAUUGGAGACUCGUCGGUAGCUGCCUACGAGCUAGUACUAACAAAGGUAAAAGACCUGAUCGUUGAGGCAUCUCCGUUAGCUGAAAACAGAGAUGGUCUUGGAAUUGAGGAUAGGAUAGUUGCAGAAGCAAGCAAAAAGAAAAAUGGCUCAGUAAUGGCGGUGGGAAGCAUCGAUCCGGAGGUGGCCGCAAAUGAGAACAGCGUAACCGCAUCUGGCAACUGGGAUGCGCUCGCUGUACUGUCAGCUGCAGCAAAAAAACGAGGUGUAGGUAGACCAUGCUCAAGCAGAGAGAAAGCACCGUAUGAAGGCCUGAGCAAGAGGACGAGAUUCUGCAGUAUAUGUAAGCUUCCAGGGCACAAGAGGACUACAUGUCCAGAUCGCGGUGAUGUUCCUAAACAACCUCGCAAGCCUGCCACUUGCAAGAAUUGCGGUGUCACAGGGCACCGGCGCACCUCGUGCACUAGGCCGCUCGUGCCCAACGCAUGA